AGUGAACGCUGGCGGUAGGCCUAACACAUGCAAGUCGAACGGCAGCACAGUAAGCGCUUGCUCUUACGGGUGGCGAGUGGCGGACGGGUGAGGAAUACAUCGGAAUCUACUUUUUCGUGGGGGAUAACGUAGGGAAACUUACGCUAAUACCGCAUACGAUCUACGGGUGAAAGCAGGAGAUCUUCGGACCUUGCGCGAUUGUAUGAGCCGAUGUCGGAUUAGCUAGUUGGCGGGGUAAAGGCCCACCAAGGCGACGAUCCGUAGCUGGUCUGAGAGGAUGAUCAGCCACACUGGAACUGAGACACGGUCCAGACUCCUACGGGAGGCAGCAGUGGGGAAUAUUGGACAAUGGGCGCAAGCCUGAUCCAGCCAUACCGCGUGAGUGAAGAAGGCCUUCGGGUUGUAAAGCCCUUUUGUUGGGAAAGAAAAGCAGCAGGUGAAUACCCCGCUGUUCUGACGGUACCCAAAGAAUAAGCACCGGCUAACUUCGUG
Molecule: ribosomal RNA, 492 nt
Filed under: uncultured bacterium
Lineage: Bacteria
Description: partial 16S ribosomal RNA
Rfam family: Bacterial small subunit ribosomal RNA
Source: RNAcentral